UGGCUCAGGAUGAACGCUAGCGGGAGGCCUAACACAUGCAAGCCGAGCGGUAGAGUCUCUUCGGAGACUUGAGAGCGGCGUACGGGUGCGGAACACGUGUGCAACCUGCCUUUAUCAGGGGGAUAGCCUUUCGAAAGGAAGAUUAAUACCCCAUAAUAUAUUUUGAGGCAUCUUAAGAUAUUGAAAACUCCGGUGGAUAAAGAUGGGCACGCGCAAGAUUAGAUAGUUGGUGGGGUAACGGCCUACCAAGUCAAUGAUCUUUAGGGGGCCUGAGAGGGUGAUCCCCCACACUGGUACUGAGACACGGACCAGACUCCUACGGGAGGCAGCAGUGAGGAAUAUUGGACAAUGGGUGCGAGCCUGAUCCAGCCAUCCCGCGUGAAGGACGACGGCCCUAUGGGUUGUAAACUUCUUUUGUACAGGGAUAAACCUUUCCACGAGUGGAAAGCUGAAGGUACUGUACGAAUAAGCACCGGCUAACUCCGUGCCAGCAGCCGCGGUAAUACGGAGGGUGCAAGCGUUAUCCGGAUUUAUUGGGUUUAAAGGGUCCGUAGGCGGAUCAGUAAGUCAGUGGUGAAAUCUCAUAGCUCAACUAUGAAACUGCCAUUGAUACUGCUGGUCUUGAGUAAGGUAGAAGUAGCUGGAAUAAGUAGUGUAGCGGUGAAAUGCAUAGAUAUUACUUAGAACACCAAUUGCGAAGGCAGGUUACUAUGUCUUAACUGACGCUGAUGGACGAAAGCGUGGGGAGCGAACAGGAUUAGAUACCCUGGUAGUCCACGCCGUAAACGAUGCUAACUCGUUUUUGGGUUUUCGGAUUCAGAGACUAAGCGAAAGUGAUAAGUUAGCCACCUGGGGAGUACGAACGCAAGUUUGAAACUCAAAGGAAUUGACGGGGGCCCGCACAAGCGGUGGAUUAUGUGGUUUAAUUCGAUGAUACGCGAGGAACCUUACCAAGGCUUAAAUGGGAAUUGAUCGGUUUAGAAAUAGACCUUCCUUCGGGCAAUUUUCAAGGUGCUGCAUGGUUGUCGUCAGCUCGUGCCGUGAGGUGUUAGGUUAAGUCCUGCAACGAGCGCAACCCCUGUCACUAGUUGCCAUCAUUAAGUUGGGGACUCUAGUGAGACUGCCUACGCAAGUAGAGAGGAAGGUGGGGAUGACGUCAAAUCAUCACGGCCCUUACGCCUUGGGCCACACACGUAAUACAAUGGCCGGUACAGAGGGCAGCUACACAGCGAUGUGAUGCAAAUCUCGAAAGCCGGUCUCAGUUCGGAUUGGAGUCUGCAACUCGACUCUAUGAAGCUGGAAUCGCUAGUAAUCGCGCAUCAGCCAUGGCGCGGUGAAUACGUUCCCGGGCCUUGUACACACCGCCCGUCAAGCCAUGGAAGUCUGGGGUACCUGAAGUCGGUGACCGUAAAAGGAGCUGCCUAGGGUAAAACAGGUAACUAGGGCUAAGUCGU
RNAcentral lists this ribosomal RNA (1454 nucleotides) under Chryseobacterium defluvii. Its description in RNAcentral is "bacterial SSU rRNA". It matches the Rfam family "Bacterial small subunit ribosomal RNA". The record is from RNAcentral. Lineage: Bacteria; Pseudomonadati; Bacteroidota; Flavobacteriia; Flavobacteriales; Weeksellaceae.